GUCUUUUUGAGUUAUUUUUAAAGUCUGACCUGCCCACUGAAGUUAUUUAAAUGGCCGCAGUAUUCUAACUGUGCAAAGGUAGCAUAAUCAUUAGUCUUUUAAUUGAAGGCUGGUAUGAACGGUUGGACGAGGUAUAAGCUGUUUCAUAUAAAUUUAUAAUAGAAUUUUAUAUUUUAGUUAAAAAGCUAAAAUUUAAUUAAAAGACGAGAAGACCCUAUAAAUCUUUAUACUUUACAUUGUUUAAAUUUUUUAGAUUAAUUUUAUUUUUAUAAUUUAAAGUAUUUUGUUGGGGUGAUAUUAAAAUUUAAUGAACUUUUAAUUAUUUAAAAUCAUUAAUUUAUGAGUUAUUGAUCCAUUAGUAGUGAUUAUAAGAUUAAGUUACUUUAGGGAUAACAGCGUAAUUUUUUUGGAGAGUUCAUAUCGAUAAAAA
RNAcentral lists this ribosomal RNA (430 nucleotides) under Bactrocera dorsalis (oriental fruit fly). RNAcentral's name for it is "partial 16S ribosomal RNA". The record is from RNAcentral. Lineage: Eukaryota; Metazoa; Arthropoda; Insecta; Diptera; Tephritidae.